GACGAACGCUGGCGGCGUGCUUAACACAUGCAAGUCGAACGGAAAGGCCCUGCUUUUGUGGGGUGCUCGAGUGGCGAACGGGUGAGUAACACGUGAGUAACCUGCCCUUGACUUUGGGAUAACUUCAGGAAACUGGGGCUAAUACCGGAUAGGAGCUCCUGCUGCAUGGUGGGGGUUGGAAAGUUUCGGCGGUUGGGGAUGGACUCGCGGCUUAUCAGCUUGUUGGUGGGGUAGUGGCUUACCAAGGCUUUGACGGGUAGCCGGCCUGAGAGGGUGACCGGCCACAUUGGGACUGAGAUACGGCCCAGACUCCUACGGGAGGCAGCAGUGGGGAGUAUUGCUCAAUGGGCGGAAGCCUGAUGCAGCAACGCCGCGUGCGGGAUGACGGCCUUCGGGUUGUAAACCGCUUUCGCCUGUGACGAAGCGUGAGUGACGGUAAUGGGUAAAGAAGCACCGGCUAACUACGUG
RNAcentral lists this ribosomal RNA (468 nucleotides) under uncultured bacterium. Its description in RNAcentral is "partial 16S ribosomal RNA". It matches the Rfam family "Bacterial small subunit ribosomal RNA", at positions 28 to 507 of the family's 1533-position model. The record is from RNAcentral.